Molecule: transfer RNA, 73 nt
Organism: Phytophthora infestans T30-4
Lineage: Eukaryota; Oomycota; Peronosporomycetes; Peronosporales; Peronosporaceae
Rfam family: tRNA
About the family: Transfer RNA (tRNA) molecules are approximately 80 nucleotides in length.
Source: Rfam
ACCCGUCUAGCUCAGUCGGUAGAGCGCUGGCCUUUUAAGCCAGUGGUCGUGGGUUUGAUCCCCACGGGGGGUG